RNAcentral lists this long non-coding RNA (276 nucleotides) under Elaeis guineensis (African oil palm). RNAcentral's name for it is "long non-coding RNA (EGUI_LNC069924)". Lineage: Eukaryota; Viridiplantae; Streptophyta; Magnoliopsida; Arecales; Arecaceae. The record is from RNAcentral.
CUUAAACCAAUAAAAUUAAAUCUUCUAAAUUAUUAAGUCCUUAAAAUGAUACAGUUAUAGAAAUAACUUGUUCAUAGCCUCCCAUUAACGUGCGUGAUAAUGAGUCCAAUAUUUCAAAUAGGCAUUAGAGGUGCCACAUGCCUGGUGUCUAUUGGAUAUUGAAAUUAUCAUUCAUCAUAUAACCAUCUUGUUGUACCUUCAGAUCAAUGCUUAAGUUGGUCGAGCCAUACUCGGGUCUAGACAUUCAUUUGAUGGAUGCAUUUGGUAUUAUCAUGU